This 494-nucleotide ribosomal RNA is filed under the name uncultured bacterium. RNAcentral describes it as "partial 16S ribosomal RNA". It matches the Rfam family "Bacterial small subunit ribosomal RNA", at positions 28 to 507 of the family's 1533-position model. The record is from RNAcentral.
GACGAACGCUGGCGGCGUGCUUAACACAUGCAAGUCGAACGGAAAGGCCUGCUUUCCCUUGUGGGUUGCGGGUACUCGAGUGGCGAACGGGUGAGUAACACGUGAGUGAUCUGCCCCCAACUUGGGUAUAAGCCUGGGAAACUGGGUCUAAUUCCCGAUAGGACUGCAGGGUGGUGCCUGUGGUGGAAAACGAUUUUCUAGUGGUUGGGGAUGAGCUCGCGGCCUAUCAGCUUGUUGGUGGGGUAAUGGCCUACCAAGGCGGCGACGGGUAGCCGGCCUGAGAGGGUGGACGGCCACAUUGGGACUGAGAUACGGCCCAGACUCCUACGGGAGGCAGCAGUGGGGAAUAUUGCACAAUGGGCGGAAGCCUGAUGCAGCGACGCCGCGUGGGGGAUGACGGCCUUCGGGUUGUAAACUCCUUUCGACCGCGAGGAAGCCACCUGGUUGGAAGGGUGGUGACGGUAGUGGUAGAAGAAGCACCGGCUAACUACGUG